This 300-nucleotide ribosomal RNA is filed under the name uncultured Deinococcus sp. RNAcentral's name for it is "partial 16S ribosomal RNA". It matches the Rfam family "Bacterial small subunit ribosomal RNA", at positions 496 to 795 of the family's 1533-position model. Lineage: Bacteria; Thermotogati; Deinococcota; Deinococci; Deinococcales; Deinococcaceae. The record is from RNAcentral.
GCCAACGCAGUUCCAGGAGCGGCGGUUAUUCGUAGUGUUGGAGCGUUGGCCGGAAGUACGGGGCGGAAAGAUGUCGGAGGUGGUUUGGCGCGUUGUUCGGGAAAACGCACAGCUGAGCUGUGGGCGGGCGGGCGAUACGGGCAGACUAGAGUACUGCAGGGGAGACUGGAAUGCCUGGGGGAGCGGUGGAAUGCGCAGAUAUCAGGAGGAACACCGGUGGCGAAGGCGGGUCUCUGGGCAGUAACUGACGCUGAGGAGCGAAAGCGUGGGGAGCGAACAGGAUUAGAUACCCCAGUAGUC